CUCGUAGGCGGUUCGUCGCGUCCGGUGUGAAAGUCCAUCGCUUAACGGUGGAUCCGCGCCGGGUACGGGCGGGCUUGAGUGCGGUAGGGGAGACUGGAAUUCCCGGUGUAACGGUGGAAUGUGUAGAUAUCGGGAAGAACACCAAUGGCGAAGGCAGGCCCCUGGGCCGUCACUGACGCUGAGGAGCGAAAGCGUGGGGAGCGAACA
RNAcentral lists this ribosomal RNA (207 nucleotides) under uncultured bacterium. Its description in RNAcentral is "partial 16S ribosomal RNA". It matches the Rfam family "Bacterial small subunit ribosomal RNA", at positions 568 to 774 of the family's 1533-position model. The record is from RNAcentral.